UACGAAGGGGGCUAGCGUUGCUCGGAAUCACUGGGCGGAAAGGGUGCGUAGGCGUGUCUUUAAGUCAGUGGUGAAAUCCUGGAGCUCAACUCCAGAACUGCCUUUGAUACUGAAGAUCUUGAGUUCGGGAGAGGUGAGUGGAACUGCGAGUGUAGAGGUGAAAUUCGUAGAUAUUCGCAAGAACACCAGUAGCGAAGGCGGCACUCUGGGCCGGUACUGACGCUGAGGAGCGAAAGCGUGGGGAGCAAACAGG
This 253-nucleotide ribosomal RNA is filed under the name uncultured bacterium. RNAcentral describes it as "partial 16S ribosomal RNA". It matches the Rfam family "Bacterial small subunit ribosomal RNA", at positions 524 to 776 of the family's 1533-position model. The record is from RNAcentral.